Molecule: unclassified non-coding RNA, 454 nt
Filed under: Celtica gigantea
Lineage: Eukaryota; Viridiplantae; Streptophyta; Magnoliopsida; Poales; Poaceae
Description: partial external transcribed spacer
Source: RNAcentral
AUGAGUUGUCUUGGACUCGUGUCUGCCAGCAGAUCCCCCGACUUUUUGUGCGGCCGACUGCUGGCGCCGUGUCCCAUCAAUCUUGCGGUUAUAACCWUUCCGCUCGACCCACAAGUGCUUGCAUGCUGGUACCCAAGUUGGGAAGUUGCCUUGUACAGUGUUGCCUCACGGUGGUCGCCCAAGGGCGUUCCGCUGCGGUCUAGUAGUUCUUUCGGUGUUGCCUCUUUGUGCCGGCUCUAUAUGUGCUCGGUGCUCUCAAGGCUACAUUGUUUGCGCUAUUGGUCUCGGAUGUUGCAAAUGAUAAAGGCUCGUGUCCAGUUGGCGUCGUGUCCCUAAAGAAAGCUCUCCCGAAUUACGACUGGUCUUGGCAUAGGUUUGUUGCCCCUUCCGUGUUUAUCUGGAAUAGCGUGUGCAUAUCUCCGUGCCGGACAGAACGUCGAUGAUGAGGCGUGCU